GACCGCGUAGCUCAGUUGGCAGAGCAUUGGCCAUUGGGCUAGUAUUCCAAAGGUCGUAGGUUCAAUUCCCACCGUGGCCA
Paramuricea clavata is the source of this 80-nucleotide non-coding RNA. Lineage: Eukaryota; Metazoa; Cnidaria; Anthozoa; Malacalcyonacea; Plexauridae. The record is from the annotation of a GenBank genome assembly.